AACAGUAGUCCACAUCAUACUCUAAAGACUUAUAUAUGCGUUUUUGUUUUUAUACAACAUAACCAAUUUUGUAAUCAUGCAUCUACUUUUGGAUGGAACUCACAAACUUAUGAAGUAAAAACCAAAGAGAAGUCUUCUCCCAUAUUUACUCGAUGCGAAAUGAAGGGAGCUACGUACAAUUUGUUUUACUCAUGCGAGCUAUUCCAAUUUAAUGCAAAUGCAAAUGUGUAGUUUUACA
Long non-coding RNA from Arabidopsis thaliana (thale cress), 238 nucleotides. RefSeq annotates it as other RNA. Lineage: Eukaryota; Viridiplantae; Streptophyta; Magnoliopsida; Brassicales; Brassicaceae. The record is from RefSeq. The transcript has a single exon.